GAUGAACGCUGGCGGCGUGCCUAAUACAUGCAAGUCGAGCGAACGGACGAGAAGCUUGCUUGUCUGAUGUUAGCGGCGGACGGGUGAGUAACACGUGGAUAACCUACCUAUAAGACUGGGAUAACUUCGGGAAACCGGAUCUAAUACCGGAUAAUAUGUUGAACCGCAGGGUUCAAAAGUGAAAGACGGUCUUGCUGUCACUUAGAGAUGGAUCCACGCUGCAUUAGCUAGUUGGUAAGGUAACGGCUUACCAAGGCAACGAUGCAUAGCCGACCUGAGAGGGUGAUCAGCCACACUGGAACUGAGACACGGUCCAGACUCCUACGGGAGGCAGCAGUAGGGAAUAUUCCGCAAUGGGCGAAAGCCUGACGGAGCAACGCCGCGUGAGUGAUGAAGGUCUUCGGAUCGUAAAACUCUGUUAUUAGGGAAGAACAUAUGUGUAAGUAACUGUGCACAUCUUGACGGUACCUAAUCAGAAAGCCACGGCUAACUACGUG
Molecule: ribosomal RNA, 497 nt
Filed under: uncultured bacterium
Lineage: Bacteria
Description: partial 16S ribosomal RNA
Rfam family: Bacterial small subunit ribosomal RNA
Source: RNAcentral